AACCUAAGGAGACGGGAACUUCUGGGCCCAAGUUGUAAUAGGUUGAAAGAUAGCUUAAAAAAUCCGUUAUUUUUUUCUACUAAAUCAUUUAAAAAAUCAGCUCAAUUCACAAUCUGGAAGAUGAGAAAUGUAAAAAAUAAGAUAAGAUCAAAAAUAAAAUAGGUAAUCGAUAAUUUUAAUCGAUUUGUAUGCAUAUCAAUUUUAUAUAAAAAUAUAGAAGAGGCUAAUGGGGAUAUAAAUAUAGUAACAAUAUUAAAAACUAUUUAGUUCAAUUAAAUUAAUCUACUGUGAAUCAAGAGAUAUAAGUAAUAAAUAGAAAUCUAAAAAUCGAUUCUCAUUUACAAAAUCGUUUCACGAGUUGAUUACGACUCUAUUUUUAUCUAUGUUGACAGUGACAUGACACUGACAGCAGUCCCGGCGACCGGCGUAUGCGUUUAAAAAACUUUGUUAAUUGUUUACACGUUUGACUUUGGCUCCUUAGUUUGGAUUUAUUUGCCGGCUUAUCGAUUGGAAAUCGACAUCAUGGAUCUUUGUGUGAACUGUGGCAUAGAAAAGAAAAAGGAAAAAGCAACAACUAGUUGUAAUACCACAGGCAGACGAGUCUUGAAUGACGAAAUGAUUCUCUUAGUGAUUCGUCGAUGGCGUACACCGCAGCCUGUAAACAACAGUGACUAUAUUUGCUAAGCUUGCUGGAACAAACAUCAGCUAUUGAUCAACCAAGACAAUUUGGCCACCGUAAUGUUUGCCUCCGCUGUGGUCGCUCUCUUGCAUCUCAAGUCACUCAUCUGCUUCACACAGGCUCAUCUUGUGAACUGAGAAUUUAUAAUGCUAUAGAAGAAUGUAUUAUGCCUCGAACUAUAAAACAAGGAAGCCACAUCUGC
Long non-coding RNA from Bicyclus anynana (squinting bush brown), 881 nucleotides. RefSeq lists it as uncharacterized. The transcript is spliced from 3 exons. Lineage: Eukaryota; Metazoa; Arthropoda; Insecta; Lepidoptera; Nymphalidae. The record is from RefSeq and is a predicted model, not a curated record.